Molecule: unclassified non-coding RNA, 214 nt
Filed under: Candida tropicalis
Lineage: Eukaryota; Fungi; Ascomycota; Pichiomycetes; Serinales; Debaryomycetaceae
Description: partial internal transcribed spacer region
Rfam family: Eukaryotic small subunit ribosomal RNA (bases 1-46)
Source: RNAcentral
AAGUCGUAACAAGGUUUCCGUAGGUGAACCUGCGGAAGGAUCAUUACUGAUUUGCUUAAUUGCACCACAUGUGUUUUUUAUUGAACAAAUUUCCUUGGUGGCGGGAGCAAUCCUACCGCCAGAGGUUAUAACUAAACCAAACUUUUUAUUUACAGUCAAACUUGAUUUAUUAUUACAAUAGUCAAAACUUUCAACAACGGAUCUCUUGGUUCUC